GGGCCCUUAGCUCAUUUGGUAGAGCGCCUGCCUUGCACGCAGGAGGUGGUCGGUUCGAUCCCGAUAGGGUCCACCA
This 76-nucleotide transfer RNA is filed under the name Spiroplasma ixodetis. Its description in RNAcentral is "tRNA-Ala". It matches the Rfam family "tRNA". Rfam says of the family: Transfer RNA (tRNA) molecules are approximately 80 nucleotides in length. Their secondary structure includes four short double-helical elements and three loops (D, anti-codon, and T loops). The record is from RNAcentral. Lineage: Bacteria; Bacillati; Mycoplasmatota; Mollicutes; Entomoplasmatales; Spiroplasmataceae. RNAcentral also lists the same sequence under 2 other names.